AGAUGAAAAGCAAGAAGAAAAAGGCUUGGCAAUGACAGGGAAAUGGCCUUUAAUCUUGAAACAACCAUGACUGAAGGGCAGUUGCAGAUCUAGCUUCCAAGGUGGGCCCAGGGAGGAUACAGCCUCUGCAUUACUGAAGCGUCAUAUUUGAAGUCAAGCACCAGGGAAAGUCCUUAGUAAUCAGCCCAGAGGCCAGGUCCAGGACAAAUGCUCAGCAGCAAUCCAAGCUUGGAAGUCCCAGAAGGUAAACCUCCCAGGAUGUAAAUGCUCCCUCUCAGAGGCAGUCCCACUGCAGCCUUCUCUGAACCCCUUGGACUCUGCAGGCUCCCUUCUCUGGCAUGCCUCCUUGGCCUUCUUCCUUCUAUUUUUCUCAUAAGCUCGUUUCUGGAUGAUUUAUGGGCUCUCCGGCGGCUCCGGUGCGGGGCUCACGGGCGCAUCGCGCUCCGGCUGCAGCGGGAGGAGAGCGGGGAGCGGAGCGGAGCGGCGGCUCGCCCCAGCCCGGCGCUUAGGGUGCGCUGCCCCGGGCCAUGCGAGCGGCUGCGGGCAGCGUCCCCGCGGCGCGGCCGGAGUUGGGACCCAAGUCCUGCCCUGAGCUCCGCUGCCUCUUCCCGGCGGCUCCUAUCGGCGCGGCUUCAACUCUUUCCAUCGGAGACCGG
RNAcentral lists this long non-coding RNA (656 nucleotides) under Gallus gallus (chicken). Lineage: Eukaryota; Metazoa; Chordata; Aves; Galliformes; Phasianidae. The record is from RNAcentral.